UUGUUCCAGUCCCCAUGACCCGUGUCCAAGUCAGAGUCAAGAACCCAGUACCUGUGUUUCAUUGCCCAUGAUGAGAUAUCAUUACCCGUGGGUCAUAGUCCAAAUUCUGUCUUCAUAACCUGUAUUCCCAGGUCCAAGUCCAGUCUCCAUUACCUGUGUCUAAGUCCAAACCAAGCCUAUAUUACCUGAUGUCUUGUCUUGUCCCAGUCCAGUCCCCAUUACCCUCAUUUCCUAGCCCAUGAUGAGAACCCGUGUGUCCCCAGUACAAGUCCAACCCCACUUUCCUGUGUCCUUGUCCAUUCCCGACCCCAUUAACUGUAUCUAAGCCCAAGUCGAGUCCCCACCACCUGUGAGUUCACGUUCAACAGGCUAUUGUUUUAUUAUCCUUUUUAUUUAUUGUGUGAUUUUUAAGAUAAUAUCUAUAUAGUUAAUAGAUAAUAUUUUUAUUAAUGGAAACACAGUUCCUCUCACACUCCAAAUUUGACAGCAUGAACCUUGACUGACUGUUCAGAACAUUUUGAGUGUGUAGAAAACAUUUUUUUUAAUCAACAUUAAAUUUUAGAAAAUCCCGCUGGCAUGCCUGGAGGUUUCAAUAAUCAAUGAAGUUACAGCAUUUUCACAUCAUCCACCAGAUAACUCUAGUACCUCAUUUACUUCAUGGGGUGCGGUAGAUGAUUGUUUUACAUGCCCAACAUGAUGCUCUGCUUAAGCCCACAAUUACUGUACUACUGCUGGAAGCAAAACGAACGAUGCGUUCCUUUUAUCCUCGCAGGAACUGGAGCUGAAUACGACGGCUCGUGAAUGCACAUGCAAGUAAACACACUUGCCAGCCAACAUUCCAAGAUGAGUGUACUAUCAGGGCCCUGAAUUGAAAAACAAAAAAAGUUCAUUAAAAUAAAAAUGAUAAAUAUGUCUGAGUCCUCCUCACCAUCUGUUGAGUCCUAAUGCAGUUAAAGUCUGAGCGCAAAAUGUGAUUUCUGAGACUCUAUUUUCAUUGAUUAAGACGAACUUCAUGUCUGCAUGCUGCAAACUCACAAUGAAACAACUCAAGAUCCAAACUUAGAAGUCACAGGGUCUCGGUUUGUGUGGACUUUCCACCCCAAAGUGAGACACUCUUAGAACUGAUGCAACAAGUCACCCGGUCUAGACCAAAGCUUGUACAAGAAGCUGGAUAUGUGCCAGUUUACUAAAGCUCCUGUGAGGAGUUUUUGAAAGGCUAUGAGAUGGGCUUAAAUGAACAGUAAUGCAAUUCUAUUAAGUACAAAGGUUAUGGGACUAAUGUUGAUAGAAUUGACAGUGUCUAUCCUAUCAUUUUUAAUGCCUAUAUGUGCUGUGAGGGGGUAGGUAUGCUAAAAAAAAACAGCUGUAGUUACUUUACCUACAGCAAAAUAUUCAAGAGGCGCCAUAUGUUUAAUUAUAAAAAGACAAAAGUUUUUCUUUUUUGGUCAGUUCAUAACACCUGCAGACAAAAUCAUCAAUAAUGGGAGUUACCAUUUUGUCCACAGGGGGGCGCCAAAGUCAACAGAGACUGAAAGUUCCUUACAGCACCUUUAAAUUAACCGACAAACCUCUAGCUGUGACAUCUGUUUAAUAACGCAUCAUGCAAAAAAAAGAAGAAAAAAAAACAUCUUAAAUAGUUAUUUUCUGGAUUAACUUCGAGGUCUGGAGCUGACUUGAUGUGACCUGUUCAUAAAAUUGAAAGAUUAUAAUUGUGUGACUGAUAAUUAUUAGCUCUCUAAAUCAGCCCACAUGCUUCGACAAUGAUAUCACAGAGUAAUUAGACUCUUAGUUUUAAGGGCCCGAUGGUGAUGGAAUGAUUAAUGCUUUAGGAGGCAGAGGUUAAAGUCCUCCGUCCCUCUCACUUUUUGUUUUAAUGCCUCUGAUGCUUUGAGCAGACCACAGCAGGCUCCAAAUGGAAGCAGAGGCUUUCUCCUUUCUUCUGAUCUCACUGUGAGGUUUGAGCCCACAUGGAAAGUGUGCGACUGCUGGCUCCCUGUCACAUCCCUCUGCCCCUAAUUAUUCCCACAAUCUCCCCCUCCUCUUCUGCCAUCUUGUGUUCAUUUUCAUAAUCUCUUUGAGAGGAUGUGAUUAAGAAUAAAGAGUAGUAGCUGAUGGCAGGAAUUAGUGGAGGGGAUAUAAUGCAAAAAUGUGUCUGAGGCUGAGCCAAUUCGGCUGCUUAGUAUUCCGCUCGGCUCCUCACUUCAGUAGUACAGCUCACUUUGAGAUAAGAGAGCAGCUGACUGCUCGGGAGCUGCCAAGAUACCAUGUUCUUUAUUACAAGGGGGAUGAGGAGUUUUUGGAGCAGAGCCUCGACCAACUGCUCAGCAAAAUCAUCACCAGCAUAAUCAUACUUCCUUAUGAGGGGUACAGGGGUAAUUUCUUGGCUGCAGGUGGAAAGAGGAGGUUGUUCACAUGCUGAACUUUGCAGGCUCCCAACGUUUUAUAUAUUGAUGUGAUGUUUGACCUACAAAGUUACUGUGCUGUUUCUUUUUUACAUUUAUUAGAUUUACAGUGCUGCAGAGGCUUUAAUGUUGGUUUCUUUAUAUGAACAACACUGUGAAAUACUGCUUUUAAUAUUUUUGUUAUCCUCAUAUUUCAUAUUUGACGGAGAUUUUUCAUGUUUCCCUUAUUUCAAUGUAUCUGAUAGCUUGACCUAGUUAAGACUUUUCCUGAAGUUAUUCAAUAAACGAAAACGUGAGAGUGGUUAUAAUCCUCCAAUAGAAGUCGUCCUGCUCAGCUUCAGCUAUAAGUCUCAGGAGACAUCAACAGGUGGCUAAGUUUGUUGAAUGGUAAGAAAUGUACGACUUUGAAGGUAACUACUGGAUUAAACAUGCAAUAACUGGGCUAACUGGCCACUCUGCAGGUACUGGGUUUGACGUUCUCAUCUGACACACAGCGAGAGAGCAGAGUAAACUCACUUUUAAGACAGAGUCCGACUAGUCCGUUCACAGAGUGCAGGAUUUCAUACUAGGGCUGGGUGAUAUGGCCUCAAAUCAAU
Molecule: long non-coding RNA, 2998 nt
Filed under: Xyrichtys novacula (pearly razorfish)
Lineage: Eukaryota; Metazoa; Chordata; Actinopteri; Labriformes; Labridae
Source: RNAcentral